This 253-nucleotide unclassified non-coding RNA is filed under the name uncultured Rhodobacterales bacterium. RNAcentral's name for it is "contains 16S-23S intergenic spacer region". It matches the Rfam family "Bacterial small subunit ribosomal RNA", at positions 524 to 776 of the family's 1533-position model. The record is from RNAcentral. Lineage: Bacteria; Pseudomonadati; Pseudomonadota; Alphaproteobacteria; Rhodobacterales.
UACGGAGGGGGCUAGCGUUGUUCGGAAUUACUGGGCGUAAAGCGCGCGUAGGCGGGCUGUUAAGUCGGGGGUGAAAUCCCGGGGCUCAACCCCGGAACUGCCCCCGAUACUGGCGGUCUUGAGGACGGGAGAGGUGAGUGGAAUGGCGAGUGUAGAGGUGAAAUUCGUAGAUAUUCGCCGGAACACCAGUGGCGAAGGCGGCUCACUGGCCCGUUUCUGACGCUGAGGCGCGAAAGCGUGGGGAGCAAACAGG